GGUAGAACCAGUACUAGUCGUUCUUUCGCCUGCCAAGGCAAUGUAAUUCAGCAAACACUUUCACCGUGGGUUCUAGGCCUUUAGCUCUGCAUAAGCCUCGGAAAGCUACCAAAGUUCGCCAAGAGUUCAGAUGCAAUUGGGCCACACAGUCCCGAUGGUAGUUCAACACGUCCUUAUAAAAUUGUUCCAAGGGAAACCGUAGUCCAGCCUUCAGCUGCUCCUCGUAUAUGACGAUCUAGUACCCCUCCUCAAAACUGUGGUCGGCUCGAAAAUCCCCGUGGCAGCUGAUGAGCUCAUAUGCGUUUGCCGAGAGGUUGAACUACUGACUUAUGUGCGUCAGUUCAGAACGUUUUAGAAUCGAC
Molecule: unclassified non-coding RNA, 362 nt
Filed under: Hevea brasiliensis (rubber tree)
Lineage: Eukaryota; Viridiplantae; Streptophyta; Magnoliopsida; Malpighiales; Euphorbiaceae
Source: RNAcentral